Molecule: small RNA, 298 nt
Filed under: Phytoplasma sp.
Lineage: Bacteria; Bacillati; Mycoplasmatota; Mollicutes; Acholeplasmatales; Acholeplasmataceae
Description: Candidatus Phytoplasma sp. transfer RNA-Ile
Rfam family: tRNA (bases 94-167)
Source: RNAcentral
CCUCCUUUCUAAGGAAUAUUUUUUAAAUAUUCAUCUUCAGUUUUGAAAGACUUAGUUCUUAUAAGUUUUUCUUUUUUAAGAAAAAAAAGAAAAGGGCCUAUAGCUCAGUUGGUUAGAGCACACGCCUGAUAAGCGUGAGGUCGAUGGUUCAAGUCCAUUUAGGCCCACCAACUGAAAAAAAAGGUCGUUUUCUUAUUCUUAAAAAAAGUUCUUUGAAAAGUAGAUAAACAAAGUAAAAUAAAAAAUCAAAGGAAUUAAGGGCGUACAGUGGAUGCCUUGGCACUAAGAGCCGAUGAAG